UUAACNGGGAGGGUGCGCCGAAAACUGGCGGGCUUGAGUAUGGGAGAGGAAAGCGGAAUUCCCGGUGUAGCGGUGAAAUGCGUAGAUAUCGGNAGGAACACCUGUGGUGUAGNCGGCUUUCUGGACCAUUACUGACGCUGAGACACGAAAGCGUGGGUAGCAAACAGGAUUAGAUACCCUGGUAGUCCACGCCCUAAACGAUGCAUACUUGGUGUGAGCCAUUCAUCUNGUCAGUGCCGCAGCUAACGCGUUAAGUAC
This 258-nucleotide ribosomal RNA is filed under the name uncultured bacterium. RNAcentral's name for it is "partial 16S ribosomal RNA". It matches the Rfam family "Bacterial small subunit ribosomal RNA", at positions 609 to 867 of the family's 1533-position model. The record is from RNAcentral.